Molecule: unclassified non-coding RNA, 467 nt
Filed under: Hevea brasiliensis (rubber tree)
Lineage: Eukaryota; Viridiplantae; Streptophyta; Magnoliopsida; Malpighiales; Euphorbiaceae
Source: RNAcentral
GCCAACAAGGUUAGCAACCUGCAUAAUGAAUUGUUAAAAAAAUUUUGUGCGCCAACUCAAGGAAUACAUCUUCGAUAUUUUGUUUCUCUAUUGAGAGAAACAAGAGAGGUAAAGAAUCUGCAAAUCCUUGAAACUUAAUUACAUAUAUUUUAUUGUAGCAUACGCUUGUUCUCAAGUCUAAACAGCAAAAAGCAGCGUCAUUCCAGAAUUUUGAUAUUUGGCAACAAUAAUUUCAGAUGAAAAAAAACAAUUUGUAUGUUAUGAUUCCAAAUAUGACAUAAGUAAUGCAAAGUUCAAUUGGCUCCUAUUUACAAUAAAAUUUUGCUCAGGUUCUUUGAUGUAACUAACUAUUUGAAAUGAAACAGCUAUUUAUAAACGGUUUGUCCAUGUCUCCUUUAAGUCAAACAUCUAAUAAGACCACUUCUAACUAGUAAAAAAUGCAGCUAGAGCUAAGGUUCAAGUUUUAG